Molecule: long non-coding RNA, 608 nt
Organism: Pomacea canaliculata
Lineage: Eukaryota; Metazoa; Mollusca; Gastropoda; Architaenioglossa; Ampullariidae
Exons: 3
Source: RefSeq, a predicted model, not a curated record
AAAAUACAAUGGCUGGCGGGGGGACAUUUUGAAAUUCCGAAGCACGUCAGCUUGCUGUUGAGAAAGCCAUUAAAUGAGUCGUCCUCGUCGUGUUUACUACGGCUUGGCGAUGGAAUAACGAUUCGAGUUCCAGUCCAUGGUAAAACCAUUACCAAGUGGCGCCGUGCACCCAUGAGUGCUUUUUGAUUGUACCAAGAUGAAAAUGGUUUUGGCGAUAUGCUCGCAAGAACUCUUUCGAGAGCGGAUGUCACAAACAUUAUCUCAGCUACAGACACCAUUUGUUUUUUCCUUGGACAUCACAGGUGUGUUCGUUGUCUAGCGCGGUCCCCACCACGACCAUAUGAUGGAGAAAUAUGGAAGCUUAUCAUCUCCUCUGUGGUGAGCACUACUCCCCCGUAUCUAUGAAAGAAGUGACUGCGGGUUAUCAUGUAGACAGCAGGAAGAAGCAGUUUGCUAGAGAUGUUGUCAGACUUUAUCGCGCCUAGUCAGCGCUUUGUUCAAAUGUAAACAGCCAGCCAGUCGCGAUAUACUGCCCAAACCUUAUUUAUGGGGCAUCCUCAAUGUCGAGCUCUUUGGUGUUCUGAGUGUGUCAAUAAUUUACAACAAUG